AUGGACCAUGAGAUUCCAUACAAUAGGUCCUAUGCGUGGGACUCGGAGGAUGAAGGCCCGGAUGAAGAAAUAGAUGAGGAUGGUUUGACGGCUAAAGAAGCUAAUGCUUUCAAGAAGGUAAUAGGCCGUAGUCACAAGACAUCAUUGUUUUGUGAUCUAAGCCUAGCCGAUAAGGCGAUUGUUGAUGGUGGCACAAGUAAAAUUCUUGCACCAAGG
This 216-nucleotide ribosomal RNA is filed under the name Triticum aestivum (bread wheat). RNAcentral describes it as "partial small subunit ribosomal RNA". The record is from RNAcentral. Lineage: Eukaryota; Viridiplantae; Streptophyta; Magnoliopsida; Poales; Poaceae.